UACGUAGGGCGCAAGCGUUGUCCGGAAUUAUUGGGCGUAAAGAGCUCGUAGGUGGCUUGUUGCGUCUGCCGUGAAAGCCCGUGGCUUAACUGCGGGUCUGCGGUGGAUACGGGCAGGCUAGAGGCUGGUAGGGGCAAGCGGAAUUCCUGGUGUAGCGGUGAAAUGCGCAGAUAUCAGGAGGAACACCGGUGGCGAAGGCGGCUUGCUGGGCCAGUUCUGACGCUGAGGAGCGAAAGCGUGGGGAGCGAACCGG
RNAcentral lists this ribosomal RNA (253 nucleotides) under uncultured bacterium. RNAcentral describes it as "partial 16S ribosomal RNA". It matches the Rfam family "Bacterial small subunit ribosomal RNA", at positions 524 to 776 of the family's 1533-position model. The record is from RNAcentral.